GUAAGUUUCUACGUAAGAUGCUCGGUACCUGGUCCUGCAGGGAGGCCGGAGCUACUCCAUGGCUCCUACCAUCGCGCGGCCGGAUGGCCGCAUGCGUGUGCAUUGCAGACUUUUUGUUGUUGCCUUUUCGGAUGUGCAUGCACGAGGAACUUCCUUCUUUGGAACUGCUUCUUGCAUGAGCUGUUUCGGAUAUUUCGUCUCCUGGCCUGGCUUAUUUCGUUUCGGUGCUGCUGAGACCUCCUUUCGCGGAAUAUUACUCAAUGACAGUGUGCGAAGAACGCGAGUUCCCCUUCUCGACGAAAAUCGUGGACUAACAGUUUGAAGUCAUUGAACUACUUCCAAGAGUUGUAUCGACAUCAACAGGAUUACGAUUUCAGUGCAAUAUGAUGCUGGAUGACCUUAUCACAGGCGACAAGCCUCUGGGUCAUCCUAAUAAAGAUAUUAUUAUUAUUAUUAUUAUUAUUAUCACGAUAACCCAUGAUUAUAAACCAUUAUAAACACAGAAUCAACAAAAACAUCUGCGACACGCACCUGGCGCAUGGCUCGAGGGUGGGGAAAUCUGAAAUAUCUGAAAGGCAAGACAAAAUUAUGGCAGAGUCAUGAAAUUCUGCAACAGCAACAUGCACAGAAUGACCUCCGUAUAAAAAAAGUAUCACCACCUGACUACUCACAUGUUUCCCCGCAG
Molecule: long non-coding RNA, 685 nt
Organism: Sycon ciliatum
Lineage: Eukaryota; Metazoa; Porifera; Calcarea; Leucosolenida; Sycettidae
Exons: 3
Source: RefSeq, a predicted model, not a curated record